RNAcentral lists this ribosomal RNA (168 nucleotides) under uncultured Sinorhizobium sp. Its description in RNAcentral is "partial 16S ribosomal RNA". It matches the Rfam family "Bacterial small subunit ribosomal RNA", at positions 338 to 524 of the family's 1533-position model. The record is from RNAcentral. Lineage: Bacteria; Pseudomonadati; Pseudomonadota; Alphaproteobacteria; Hyphomicrobiales; Rhizobiaceae.
CCUACGGGGGCAGCAGUGGGGAAUAUUGGACAAUGGGCGCAAGCCUGAUCCAGCCAUGCCGCGUGAGUGAUGAAGGCCCUAGGGUUGUAAAGCUCUUUCACCGGUGAAGAUAAUGACGGUAACCGGAGAAGAAGCCCCGGCUAACUUCGUGCCAGCAGCCGCGGUAAU